RNAcentral lists this ribosomal RNA (429 nucleotides) under Actinomycetes bacterium. Its description in RNAcentral is "Actinobacteria bacterium partial 16S ribosomal RNA". It matches the Rfam family "Bacterial small subunit ribosomal RNA", at positions 355 to 776 of the family's 1533-position model. The record is from RNAcentral. Lineage: Bacteria; Bacillati; Actinomycetota; Actinomycetes.
UAGGGAAUCUUCCGCAAUGGGCGAAAGCCUGACGGAGCAACGCCGCGUGAGUGAUGAAGGUCUUCGGAUCGUAAAACUCUGUUAUUAGGGAAGAACAAAUGUGUAAGUAACUAUGCACGUCUUGACGGUACCUAAUCAGAAAGCCACGGCUAACUACGUGCCAGCAGCCGCGGUAAUACGUAGGUGGCAAGCGUUAUCCGGAAUUAUUGGGCGUAAAGCGCGCGUAGGCGGUUUUUUAAGUCUGAUGUGAAAGCCCACGGCUCAACCGUGGAGGGUCAUUGGAAACUGGAAAACUUGAGUGCAGAAGAGGAAAGUGGAAUUCCAUGUGUAGCGGUGAAAUGCGCAGAGAUAUGGAGGAAAACCAGUGGCGAAGGCGACUUUCUGGUCUGUAACUGACGCUGAUGUGCGAAGGCGUGGGGAUCAAACAGG